Molecule: ribosomal RNA, 468 nt
Filed under: uncultured bacterium
Lineage: Bacteria
Description: partial 16S ribosomal RNA
Rfam family: Bacterial small subunit ribosomal RNA
Source: RNAcentral
GACGAACGCUGGCGGCGUGCUUAACACAUGCAAGUCGAACGGAAAGGCCCUGCUUUUGUGGGGUGCUCGAGUGGCGAACGGGUGAGUAACACGUGAGUAACCUGCCCUUGACUUUGGGAUAACUUCAGGAAACUGGGGCUAAUACCGGAUAGGAGCUCCUGCUGCAUGGUGGGGGUUGGAAAGUUUCGGCGGUUGGGGAUGGACUCGCGGCUUAUCAGCUUGUUGGUGGGGUAGUGGCUUACCAAGGCUUUGACGGGUAGCCGGCCUGAGAGGGUGACCGGCCACAUUGGGACUGAGAUACGGGCCAGACUCCUACGGGAGGCAGCAGUGGGGAAUAUUGCACAAUGGGCGGAAGCCUGAUGCAGCAACGCCGGGUGCGGGAUGACGGCCUUCGGGUUGUAAACCGCUUUCGCCUGUGACGAAGCGUGAGUGACGGUAAUGGGUAAAGAAGCACCGGCUAACUACGUG